UGUGCACCACCCGCCAUGGCGGGGCAGGUUCUUGGCUCUGAAUGAGAAUGUUUUCUUGAGCAGGUCAGAGAAGUGUAUCUAAAGAACGGGUUCGUUAAAGCAGGAGUAGCAGGGAAUGGAAGCUGCCUCGCAGGCGGCAAAGAGGGAGCGAGUAAGAAUGGGGCAGGAAAGGGUGACUUGCCGAACUCCUGCUCGGCAGUGGGCGAAUCCCUCGCCAACUUCUAAAGCCAGGCUCACCUGGUGUCCAGCGUCCGCUCGGGUCUGCACAGCGUGGGAACUAAGUCCCCACCAGCCCAGGAUCUGGGGGUGCUGCAGAGCCCUGGGUGGAGUGGCAUUAUGUGCUGAGCGCUCCCCAGAGGCAAAGACCGGAGAUUUUCAGGCAGCCUCCUGAAGGGCACUACAGUACAGCUGCUGUCCUGUCCGGGUCACCUGCGCGACGGGAACUGGCCAGCCCCGCUCAGAGCUCCCAGUAGCCCCUCCCUCCUCCUCUGCAGUAGAGCAGAGACAGCGAAGACUUGUGCUUCCGUCUGGAAAAGAGAAUGAAACAGGGAUGUGACAAAGACACUUGCUUUUGGAAGAGCCCAGAGACAAAGCGCAGACUCUUCCCGGGAAGUGGGACUGGUCUCUCUCCUGUCAGCACGUCGUCUGUCAGCUCAGUGUGAGAGCACCCAUAGGACCCAGGUGGGAGGAAGGGAAGUGCUUCCUCGCCUACGGGCCGUGCAGGCAACAGCCGGGAUAGGGCCCCAUGUGGGGGUGGGCGGGGGCCCUGCCGAGGGGAUAGGUCCAUUUCCCACCCUGGCGUGAGUAUGGUCCCACGAGUCGGAGGUCACGGCCCCUGGCUGGGGUGGGGGUGUGCAGGGAGGGCUGUAUGUGGGGGAAGGGGGCUGAGAUGAGUAGGCAGCAGGAUGUGGGGGCUGCCCCCCCGUAGAGGGGAGACAACCAGCCUGUGCCCCAGCAGGGACCCGGAGGAGCUGGGGGAUGGUGGUGCGGGGCACAGAAGCAUCCCCGUGUCAAGGGUCAGGCCCUGCCCGGUCUUGUUGCCACAUAGCUGCGUCUGGGGAGGUCUCUCCCUGCCCACCAGGUGAAGCCUCCACCUGGACAGGGCUGGGUUCUCGAGUCUGAGCAGAAAGAAUUCCCUAGCGGGACAGAUGAGCGCAGGACAGAGACGAGCGGAGACUGGUGCUUAAGUCUGGGAAAGAGAACGAGACAGCAUAGUAACAAGACGCUCACCCUGCAGGAGGGCAGAGACAGAAGGCAGGAGGGUGGGCAGUGAGCGGGGAGACUGUGCCCAAGUGUCCGUCCUCUCGACUUUUCGUAAGAUGAGCUCAGCACGAGGCAUUCCUUGAUCCUGCCCUCCUCCGGGACAGGGGGAACCCCAGAGCAGUGGGGACACCCCAGUGAGGCCUGCUUGCCCUGCCUGAAGACAGGUUUGGAGGAGGAGCUGAUCAUGAUGAUCGUCCCACGUCCCUGCCCUACCUCAGUUUCCCUCCCGCCCGGAUCCCUCACAUGCGAGGCCCGCCCAGCACCCACUCGUGCCGCUGCUUUGGACAUCACCAGCAUGUGACCCAGAGGCCCAUUGAAGCACUGAUUCAUUGAU
Molecule: long non-coding RNA, 1597 nt
Organism: Manis pentadactyla (Chinese pangolin)
Lineage: Eukaryota; Metazoa; Chordata; Mammalia; Pholidota; Manidae
Exons: 5
Source: RefSeq, a predicted model, not a curated record